GGGGAUGUUUUUGGUUUUGACAGCAAGGUUAGAUUGAAAUGUAAGCACGUCGAGCGUUGGGAUUAUAGCUCGUUAAUAUCUGGUCUCAAGCCAUAAUUGGCAACAACAACUAUGCUCUCGCAGCCUAAUACACAAAGUGUAAUGGCUUAAUCCGGCGACCCAAGGCGGUUGUUAGACGAGAAUCUCACAAAAAACCAGCCUUCCGGUUUUUUGAUUUCGAGGUUUCAUUUUUUGGAAGGAUAGCAUACGUGACGCCUUUAAUCGUAUGCAAAAUUUCAAAGGAUAAGGAUAAAACCGAUUGGCUUCUUAUCAAGUUCUAUUCCGACAAUAUAAAAUGAAGAUAAACGUGUAGAAAGCAUUUGGUCACUUGUUUGGACGCGGGUUCGACUCCCGCCAUCUCCACAA
Molecule: transfer-messenger RNA, 405 nt
Filed under: Prevotellaceae bacterium
Lineage: Bacteria; Pseudomonadati; Bacteroidota; Bacteroidia; Bacteroidales; Prevotellaceae
Rfam family: transfer-messenger RNA
About the family: Bacterial tmRNA, also known as 10Sa RNA or SsrA, is named for its dual tRNA and mRNA-like properties. Its role is to liberate the mRNA from a stalled ribosome.
Source: RNAcentral